CACGAACACUACAUGUCCAGACGAACAGUUAAAACAUUUUACAGUCUUAUUGUGAACAAAUAUUAUGUUAUAUUGAAAUGUUACGAAAUAGGAAACUGCGUAUAAGAAAUUUCCCUACAAGUCAGUAGCUGGUGUUGGCAACACCUGACCUGGCAGGCGUAUAUAAUGUCUGGGGUUCCGUGUUCCAGACACACUCCUUCACAGCUUCUCUUGUCAUUACCAAAUCAUCUGCCAACAUGAAGAUCUUUGCGAUGAUGAUGGCUGUUCUGGCGGUGCUGUUCGCAGUCUUGGGGACUGCCAAUGGCGAUUUUGAUGCAAAGCCUCACAGUGCCCUCGUUGCUCGCUCACCUGAUCCAAUCCUCGAUGCCUCUGCUCAAAAUAAGAAAAAAUAAAUAAGAAAAUGAGGUAAUCGGCACCUCGGAUGAUCCAUGCAUUAGCUCUCUUCUAAUAAAUAUAUAUAAUGGAAAUAUCCAUUAUGUUCUUGCUGACCCCCACUGCCAGUGCCCACUGCCAGUGCCCACUACCAGUGCCCACUAACAGUGCCCACUUCCGUGGAUGAAGGGCAAGGGGGGAGUGGAACAUCAACGUGUCCACCACAAACACAGAGCCGUUGGUGACAGGGUACCAUGAAGGACUUGUUAUAAAAUCUUCGUGUAAUAUGAUGCAUCACAAUAAACUUUUGCAUCGUUUAAGAGGAACAACUUUGCUGUUCUUACACUUCUGUUAAUGUGACAUUGUUAAUAAAUUCUAUGACAUGGA
Procambarus clarkii (red swamp crayfish) is the source of this 759-nucleotide non-coding RNA. Lineage: Eukaryota; Metazoa; Arthropoda; Malacostraca; Decapoda; Cambaridae. The record is from RefSeq and is a predicted model, not a curated record.